This 23-nucleotide small nuclear RNA is filed under the name Arabidopsis thaliana (thale cress). RNAcentral describes it as "snRNA_08182". Lineage: Eukaryota; Viridiplantae; Streptophyta; Magnoliopsida; Brassicales; Brassicaceae. The record is from RNAcentral.
UCUGCAGCGGUUUAUUGUCCGUA